GAGAUAUGAGUAUCGUUAAGAUACGGAAACUCAACUUUGAUUCUAUCUUAAAUCUAGAUAUGACAGGUGUUGCAUGGCUGUCGUCAGUUAGUGUUCGUGAGACCUAUGGUUGAUUCCGUAUAACUAACGCAAACCUCGCUAUGAAUAUAUAUGUUUUAUAGUCUAGAUUUGAUAUAAGUCUAGUUUAGGAGGACUAUGACAAGCCUUCAUGACCCUUAUGAAGUGGGCUACACGCGUGCCACUAGAAUAUCAACAAUGUGAUACAAUACUGAAAAGUGGAGUUAACCAUCAACUGAUAUUAAUGUACGGAUUAAAGGCUGGAACUCGCCUUUAUGAAGUAGGAAUUCCGAGUAAUCGCGUAUCAUAACGACGCGGUGAA
RNAcentral lists this non-coding RNA (379 nucleotides) under Cryptococcus amylolentus CBS 6039. Its description in RNAcentral is "Bacterial small subunit ribosomal RNA". It matches the Rfam family "Bacterial small subunit ribosomal RNA", at positions 981 to 1366 of the family's 1533-position model. Lineage: Eukaryota; Fungi; Basidiomycota; Tremellomycetes; Tremellales; Cryptococcaceae. The record is from Rfam by way of RNAcentral.